This 1343-nucleotide ribosomal RNA is filed under the name uncultured bacterium. RNAcentral's name for it is "16S ribosomal RNA". It matches the Rfam family "Bacterial small subunit ribosomal RNA", at positions 28 to 1378 of the family's 1533-position model. The record is from RNAcentral.
GACGAACGCUGGCGGCGCGCUUAACACAUGCAAGUCGAACGGAAAGGCCCUGCUUUUGUGGGGUGCUCGAGUGGCGAACGGGUGAGUAACACGUGAGUAACCUGCCCUUGACUUUGGGAUAACUUCAGGAAACUGGGGCUAAUACCGGAUAGGAGCUCCUGCUGCAUGGUGGGGGUUGGAAAGUUUCGGCGGUUGGGGAUGGACUCGCGGCUUAUCAGCUUGUUGGUGGGGUAGUGGCUUACCAAGGCUUUGACGGGUAGCCGGCCUGAGAGGGUGACCGGCCACAUUGGGACUGAGAUACGGCCCAGACUCCUACGGGAGGCAGCAGUGGGGAACAUUGCACAAUGGGCGGAAGCCUGAUGCAGCAACGCCGCGUGCGGGAUGACGGCCUUCGGGUUGUAAACCGCUUUCGCCUGUGACGAAGCGUGAGUGACGGUAAUGGGUAAAGAAGCACCGGCUAACUACGUGCCAGCAGCCGCGGUGAUACGUAGGGUGCGAGCGUUGUCCGGAUUUAUUGGGCGUAAAGGGCUCGUAGGUGGUUGAUCGCGUCGGAAGUGUAAUCUUGGGGCUUAACCCUGAGCGUGCUUUCGAUACGGGUUGACUUGAGGAAGGUAGGGGAGAAUGGAAUUCCUGGUGGAGCGGUGGAAUGCGCAGAUAUCAGGAGGAACACCAGUGGCGAAGGCGGUUCUCUGGGCCUUUCCUGACGCUGAGGAGCGAAAGCGUGGGGAGCGAACAGGCUUAGAUACCCUGGUAGUCCACGCUGUAAACGGUGGGUACUAGGUGUGGGGUCCAUUCCACGGGUUCCGUGCCGUAGCUAACGCUUUAAGUACCCCGCCUGGGGAGUACGGCCGCAAGGCUAAAACUCAAAGGAAUUGACGGGGCCCCGCACAAGCGGCGGAGCAUGCGGAUUAAUUCGAUGCAACGCGUAGAACCUUACCUGGGUUUGACAUGGAUCGGGAGUGCUCAGAGAUGGGUGUGCCUCUUUUGGGGUCGGUUCACAGGUGGUGCAUGGCUGUCGUCAGCUCGUGUCGUGAGAUGUUGGGUUAAGUCCCGCAACGAGCGCAACCCUUGUUCACUGUUGCCAGCACGUUAUGGUGGGGACUCAGUGGAGACCGCCGGGGUCAACUCGGAGGAAGGUGGGGAUGACGUCAAGUCAUCAUGCCCCUUAUGUCCAGGGCUUCACGCAUGCUACAAUGGCUGGUACAGAGAGUGGCGAGCCUGUGAGGGUGAGCGAAUCUCGGAAAGCCGGUCUCAGUUCGGAUUGGGGUCUGCAACUCGACCUCAUGAAGUCGGAGUCGCUAGUAAUCGCAGAUCAGCAACGCUGCGGUGAAUACGUUCUCGGG